Molecule: non-coding RNA, 112 nt
Organism: Acanthosepion pharaonis
Lineage: Eukaryota; Metazoa; Mollusca; Cephalopoda; Sepiida; Sepiidae
Source: the annotation of a GenBank genome assembly
UUACAGCCAUAUCAACGUGAAAUACCGAUUCCUGUAUGAUCAAUGAAGUUAAGCAACACUGAGCCUGGGCAGCACCUAGAUGAGUGACUGCUUGGGAAUACUGUGUGCUGAA